RNAcentral lists this small RNA (749 nucleotides) under Pan troglodytes (chimpanzee). RNAcentral describes it as "processed transcript". The record is from RNAcentral. Lineage: Eukaryota; Metazoa; Chordata; Mammalia; Primates; Hominidae.
GGGGCUCCGCGCUCGUCCGGCCGGCCCCGGCCUCGCCGCCCCGCGCAGUACCCACCCGGCCCCGCCGACCCGCCUCUACUGCCGGCUCCGCGCCCUUCCCCGGGGGCUGGAUGAUGGGCUGUUUCGCCCUGCAAACGGUGGACACCGAGCUGACGGCGGACUCGGUGGAGUGGUGCCCGCUGCAAGGCUGCAGGCACCUGCUGGCGUGCGGGACCUACCAGCUGCGGCGGCCGGAGGACCGGCCUGCCGGCCCCCAGAAUAAGGUGUCACAUCCCGGUGGCUGGACAUGCCCUCUUGGGCUUGGCAGAUGCCAGUGGAUCCAUACAACUGCUCCGCCUGGUGGAAUCUGAGAAGAGCCACGUGCUGGAGCCAUUGUCCAGCCUUGCCCUGGAGGAGCAGUGUCUGGCUUUGUCCCUCGAUUGGUCCACUGGGAAAACUGGAAGGGCGGGGGACCAGCCCUUGAAGAUCAUCAGCAGUGACUCCACAGGGCAGCUCCACCUCCUGAUGGUGAAUGAGACGAGGCCCAGGCUGCAGAAAGUGGCCUCAUGGCAGGCACAUCAAUUCGAGGCCUGGAUUGCUGCUUUCAAUUACUGGCAUACAGAAAUUGUGUAUUCAGGGGGUGACGAUGGCCUUCUGAGGGGCUGGGACACCAGGGUACCCGGCAAAUUUCUCUUCACCAGCAAAAGACACACCAUGGGUGUGUGCAGCAUCCAGAGCAGCCCUCAUCGGGAGCACAUCCUGGCCACGGG